AUGGCAUCUUCUACUGCUAAUGGUCUCUGGCCUAUAAUUGCUAACCAGCUCUUCCAGGGACUGACAGCCUGCAAUUUGAUAUUGACAAAGGGAACCAAUCUAUGGAGGGGUCAGGGGAAGAUGUUUUUUCCUAUUUGUUCACUAUCCCUUUCUUCUCUACAGAUCCUCUGACUUGAAUGGUAUUAGUACACUGGGAAAGUGUACACAGUUUAUAUCUGAAUAACCCAUAUGGUCCUCUGACUUUCAUUUUGAUGCAGAUGAAGGAGAGCUCUGCCUGUUGACAACCUCCAGUCUUGUAUGCAUGUACAGUCUUUUCCAUAGAUUAAUGAGAAUAAUAUGCAUAAAGUCUUCAUAUUUAUGUAUUUCUUUGUCAUCAUAACCAUUUCCCCACAGCAUAAAAAUAAGGAAGUUUAUUUGCAAAGGUAAAACCUCUAUGUUC
This 439-nucleotide long non-coding RNA is filed under the name Anser cygnoides (Swan goose). RNAcentral's name for it is "lncRNA (ENSACDG00005011184.1)". The record is from RNAcentral. Lineage: Eukaryota; Metazoa; Chordata; Aves; Anseriformes; Anatidae.